This 73-nucleotide transfer RNA is filed under the name Encyrtus rhodococcusiae. Its description in RNAcentral is "tRNA-Val". The record is from RNAcentral. Lineage: Eukaryota; Metazoa; Arthropoda; Insecta; Hymenoptera; Encyrtidae.
GAAAUUUUAGUUUAACGCUAAGAAAAAAUUUUUUUUUUACAAAAAAAAGAUAUUAUAAUUAUAUUAAAUUUUA